GACGAACGCUGGCGGCGCGCUUAACACAUGCAAGUCGAGCGGUAAGGCUCCUUCGGGAGUACACGAGCGGCGAACGGGUGAGUAACACGUGAGUAAUCUGCCCUUCACUUCGGGAUAACCACCGGAAACGGUGGCUAAUACCGAAUACGACCAGUCUUCGCAUGAGGUGCUGGUGGAAAGUCUUUUCGGUGAAGGAUGUGCUCGCGGCCCAUCAGCUUGUUGGUGGGGUAAUGGCCUACCAAGGCUUCGACGGGUAGCCGGCCUGAGAGGGUGACCGGCCACACUGGGACUGAGACACGGCCCAGACUCCUACGGGAGGCAGCAGUGGGGAAUAUUGGACAAUGGGCGAAAGCCUGAUCCAGCAACGCCGCGUGAGGGAUGACGGCCUUCGGGUUGUAAACCUCUUUCAGUACCGACGAAGCGCCCUGUCGGGUGGUGACGGUAGGUACAGAAGAAGGACCGGCCAACUACGUG
Molecule: ribosomal RNA, 474 nt
Filed under: uncultured bacterium
Lineage: Bacteria
Description: partial 16S ribosomal RNA
Rfam family: Bacterial small subunit ribosomal RNA
Source: RNAcentral